Molecule: ribosomal RNA, 599 nt
Filed under: uncultured beta proteobacterium
Lineage: Bacteria; Pseudomonadati; Pseudomonadota; Betaproteobacteria
Description: bacterial SSU rRNA
Rfam family: Bacterial small subunit ribosomal RNA
Source: RNAcentral
CGCUGGCGGNAUGCUUUACACAUGCAAGUCGAGCGGCAGCGCGGGGCAACCUGGCGGCGAGCGGCGAACGGGUGAGUAAUGCAUCGGAACAUGUCCAUGUCGUGGGGGAUAGCCCGGCGAAAGCCGGAUUAAUACCGCAUAUGCCCGAGAGGGGAAAGUGGGGGACCGCAAGGCCUCACGCGAUUGGGUUGGCCGAUGUCCGAUUAGCUAGUUGGCGGGGUAAAGGCCCACCAAGGCGAUGAUCGGUAGCUGGUCUGAGAGGAUGAUCAGCCACACUGGGACUGAGACACGGCCCAGACUCCUACGGGAGGCAGCAGUGGGGAAUUUUGGACAAUGGGGGAAACCCUGAUCCAGCCAUUCCGCGUGAGUGAAGAAGGCCUUCGGGUUGUAAAGCUCUUUUGUCCGGAACGAAACGGCGAGCGUGAAUAUCGCUCGCUACUGACGGUACCGGAAGAAUAAGCACCGGCUAACUACGUGCCAGCAGCCGCGGUAAUACGUAGGGUGCGAGCGUUAAUCGGAAUUACUGGGCGUAAAGCGUGCGCAGGCGGUUUUGUAAGCCAGAUGUGAAAUCCCCGGGCUUAACCUGGGAAUGGCAUUUG